GAUGAACGCUGGCGGCGUGCCUAAUACAUGCAAGUCGAGCGAACAGGUCAGGAGCUUGCUCCUUUGACGUUAGCGGCGGACGUGUGAGUAACACGUGUGUAAUGUACCUAUAAGACUGGGAUAACUACGGGAAACCGGAGCUAAUACCGUAUAAGAUUCUGAAGCGCGUGGUUCUAUAGUGAGAGAUGGUUGUUCGAGCUCGUAUAGAGGGACACGGGCCGUAUUAGCUAGUUGGUAAGUUAACGGCUUACUAAGGCAACGAUACGUAGCCGACGGGAGAGAGUGAUCGGCCACAUGGGAGCUGAGACGCGGACAUGAGGACUAAGGGAGGCAGCAGUAGGGAACCUGACGCAAUGGGGGAAAGCCUGACAGAGCGACGCGGAGUGAGAGAUGGAGAGUUUCGGUGCGGGAAACUGUGUUAUUAGGGAAGAACCAACGUGGAAGUAACUGUAGAGGGAUUGACGGUAACGAAUCAGAAAGCAACGGCUAACUACGUG
This 497-nucleotide ribosomal RNA is filed under the name uncultured bacterium. Its description in RNAcentral is "partial 16S ribosomal RNA". It matches the Rfam family "Bacterial small subunit ribosomal RNA", at positions 28 to 507 of the family's 1533-position model. The record is from RNAcentral.